Molecule: long non-coding RNA, 1925 nt
Organism: Lagopus leucura (white-tailed ptarmigan)
Lineage: Eukaryota; Metazoa; Chordata; Aves; Galliformes; Phasianidae
Exons: 3
Source: RefSeq, a predicted model, not a curated record
CAGCGAGAGGCUGCUGGCUUAGAGAGGCAAAACGCACAGCUGGGCGAGGAGCACCGUGCACAGAGCAGGCUGGAAGGCAGCACGGGAAGCAGAGCAGUGCUGGUGGCAGCGGCGGCACACAGCUCCCAAUGCCCGCAGCUCCGCGCUGCUGCAAGCUUGCUACAGGGAAAGGGGUAAAGGAGAGGCAGGGAUGGGAAAUCAAACUAUCCUGCAGAAUUCGGGGCUGUUCCAACCUAACAAAGCAGCUGGGUGACCCCGAGGAGCAGCAGAAAGCACCCGGAGCCCCUCCGCCUCUGCUGCAGCACGCGCCUCCUGCAUCCAUCCCAAGGCAGCCCGCAGUAACGCAGCAGAAAGACAAGUGUCAUGCUGAAUUGCAUUCUCCUCGCACACAACAGCCGAGCGGCAGCACCUAACAUGCAUGGCUCAGCCCUGCCGCCACGCCACGCCGGAAUGGAGAGCCUUAAAAUAAGAUUUGUCUCCUUGCUUUAAAAAGGAAAAGCAGUCGGGAUGAUGUCAUUAACCCUUUGAGGGCAGUGCGUCUCUGCAGCUCCGGAGCUUCUGGAGGAAUUUUAGCAUCAGGGAACGACGCUGCCAAAAAGUUCUGGCGAAGGAAAAUGUUUCUACAUUAAACUUUUAGUGCUCUCUAAAGUGAAGCUACAAUUGCAUCUGAGCUUGAUCCUUAAUGGAAAGAUCAGCUUGCAGAUAAGGAAGGUGCACUCUGCGGGGCUGGAGGUGCCUGAAGGGCGGUCCCAGCUCCUCGCCCCACUGCAGUCCCACAGCACUGCGUGCACCCACAGCCCCUGAGCAGACACAUGAAGUUUGCACAGCGGAGCCAAUGCCAGCCUUCCAUAAAAUCACAGAGGUCAGAAAAUCCCCCACAGACCCCCAAGCCCACUUCCCAACCCACCGCAUCACCCCCGGUCAGCCUAUGCAGUGCUGACCAUUCCUUCUGAGGAGCACUGCUCCCUGACAGCCAACCCGAGCCUCCCCUGGCACACCACGGGCCAUCACCUCUCAUCCCAUCGCUGUCACAUGGGAGCAGAGGCCGGCCCCAACUCACCACGACCUCCUUCCAGGAGCUGUAGGAUAGAUGAGGUCUCCCCUGAAGCCCAUCUCCUCCACACUGACUCAGCCCAGAUCCUUCAGCCGCUCCCCACAGCGCUGUGCUCCGACCCAUCGCAGCCCCUGUCCACCUCUGGACACAUUUGGGGCCCCAGUGUGUUUCUGGCAGCAAGGGGCCCAGCACCGAACACAGCACUGCAGGUGCACAGCAACGAUCACCUCCUGCUGUCUGCACUUCUUCUGACACCAGUCAGGAUGCUGCUGGCUCCUCGGCCACCCUGGCACACUGCUGGCUCAUGUUCAUGUGAUGCUGCAGAUGGAACUGAGCCUAAUGCCAACGAGCACACGUCAGCCCAUCAACAGGACGUACAAUUAAUGAUUACGGAUAAAUAAUCCAGCCGAUCACAAGUCGAUUCCAAAUCCCUAUUUGGUUUAUUGGUUGUUUUUUCUACGUGUGGCCACAAGCACCAACAAAUCCUUCUUUUCUUUGAUGCACAAGCAUAAAGCUAUCUGUGGCUGUUACAGGAGGAGGAUCCCCGGCCCCACAGGCCAGCAGCCUCACAUGCUGAGCCCAGCGCUGUGCUGGGCAGUGCGGGACGUUGCAUACAGAUGAAGUGAGUUUUAAAGGACAAAAAGCCCUGGCAGCAGCUCCUGGGCCAAAUUCUCACGUGCCAAACUUCCCAACUGCUGCAGCGCAGCUCGACGGCAUUUCAAAAGAAUUCCUGCUCUGUUUUGAAUACUGCUGACAAUCUUCUCUGUCAAAAUUUGUAAUUUAAAUCCCUCGGAGGCGAGAAGCACACUGCUCCUCGGGGCAUUCCCUGCUCCCCAUAUACAACACACUGCAUCCCACAGCCCAUCCCCUG